This 787-nucleotide ribosomal RNA is filed under the name uncultured bacterium. Its description in RNAcentral is "bacterial SSU rRNA". It matches the Rfam family "Bacterial small subunit ribosomal RNA", at positions 562 to 1347 of the family's 1533-position model. The record is from RNAcentral.
AAAGAGCUCGUAGGUGGUUUGUCGCGUUGUUCGUGAAAUCUCACGGCUUAACUGUGAGCGUGCGGGCGAUACGGGCAGACUUGAGUACUGCAGGGGAGACUGGAAUUCCUGGUGUAGCGGUGGAAUGCGCAGAUAUCAGGAGGAACACCGGUGGCGAAGGCGGGUCUCUGGGCAGUAACUGACGCUGAGGAGCGAAAGCGUGGGGAGCGAACAGGAUUAGAUACCCUGGUAGUCCACGCCGUAAACGGUGGGUACUAGGUGUGGGUUUCCUUCCUUGGGAUCCGUGCCGUAGCUAACGCAUUAAGUACCCCGCCUGGGGAGUACGGCCGCAAGGCUAAAACUCAAAGAAAUUGACGGGGGCCCGCACAAGCGGCGGAGCAUGUGGAUUAAUUCGAUGCAACGCGAAGAACCUUACCUGGGUUUGACAUGCACAGGACGCCGGCAGAGAUGUCGGUUCCCUUGUGGCCUGUGUGCAGGUGGUGCAUGGCUGUCGUCAGCUCGUGUCGUGAGAUGUUGGGUUAAGUCCCGCAACGAGCGCAACCCUUGUCUCAUGUUGCCAGCGGGUAAUGCCGGGGACUCGUGAGAGACUGCCGGGGUCAACUCGGAGGAAGGUGGGGAUGACGUCAAGUCAUCAUGCCCCUUAUGUCCAGGGCUUCACACAUGCUACAAUGGCCGGUACAAAGGGCUGCGAUGCCGCGAGGUUAAGCGAAUCCUUUUAAAGCCGGUCUCAGUUCGGAUCGGGGUCUGCAACUCGACCCCGUGAAGUCGGAGUCGCUAGUAAUCGCAG